CAAAUCAGCCGCAGCAGUCCAUGGGCUGCUCGUAAUUUCACCAGAGACGCGCCAAAACCGAUCAAAACCGUCCCAAACAUCGAAAAACAAAAGUGGGUUUGUCUUUGGGAUUUCGGGAAUCGAGUUCGAGGUCUAUUCGUGGUUCAUGGGUUCACGAGGCUCCCAUCGUGGUUGAAAUCGGUUCAAGUUGAUUGAAUAAAAGUAACAUUGAGGUUCGACGUUGAGGUUCCGUUGGACGCGGUUCUAUUCAGAAAGAUCAGUUAAUCAAUAAGGCAUUGAGGUCCAUUUCUCAUCUCAUUCUCUAUU
This 306-nucleotide long non-coding RNA is filed under the name Capsicum annuum. RNAcentral describes it as "long non-coding RNA (CANN_LNC013291)". Lineage: Eukaryota; Viridiplantae; Streptophyta; Magnoliopsida; Solanales; Solanaceae. The record is from RNAcentral.